RNAcentral lists this ribosomal RNA (1049 nucleotides) under Bacillus sp. (in: firmicutes). RNAcentral's name for it is "bacterial SSU rRNA". It matches the Rfam family "Bacterial small subunit ribosomal RNA", at positions 44 to 1076 of the family's 1533-position model. The record is from RNAcentral. Lineage: Bacteria; Bacillati; Bacillota; Bacilli; Caryophanales; Bacillaceae.
GUACACGUGAUGCUGGCCCGCCGGUGUUUGUUGUUUGGUUCCCUGACGUUAGCGGCGGACGGGUGAGUAACACGUGGGCAACCUGCCUGUAAGACUGGGAUAACUUCGGGAAACCGAAGCUAAUACCGGAUAGGAUCUUCUCCUUCAUGGGAGAUGAUUGAAAGAUGGUUUCGGCUAUCACUUACAGAUGGGCCCGCGGUGCAUUAGCUAGUUGGUGAGGUAACGGCUCACCAAGGCAACGAUGCAUAGCCGACCUGAGAGGGUGAUCGGCCACACUGGGACUGAGACACGGCCCAGACUCCUACGGGAGGCAGCAGUAGGGAAUCUUCCGCAAUGGACGAAAGUCUGACGGAGCAACGCCGCGUGAGUGAUGAAGGCUUUCGGGUCGUAAAACUCUGUUGUUAGGGAAGAACAAGUACGAGAGUAACUGCUCGUACCUUGACGGUACCUAACCAGAAAGCCACGGCUAACUACGUGCCAGCAGCCGCGGUAAUACGUAGGUGGCAAGCGUUAUCCGGAAUUAUUGGGCGUAAAGCGCGCGCAGGCGGUUUCUUAAGUCUGAUGUGAAAGCCCACGGCUCAACCGUGGAGGGUCAUUGGAAACUGGGGAACUUGAGUGCAGAAGAGAAAAGCGGAAUUCCACGUGUAGCGGUGAAAUGCGUAGAGAUGUGGAGGAACACCAGUGGCGAAGGCGGCUUUUUGGUCUGUAACUGACGCUGAGGCGCGAAAGCGUGGGGAGCAAACAGGAUUAGAUACCCUGGUAGUCCACGCCGUAAACGAUGAGUGCUAAGUGUUAGAGGGUUUCCGCCCUUUAGUGCUGCAGCUAACGCAUUAAGCACUCCGCCUGGGGAGUACGGUCGCAAGACUGAAACUCAAAGGAAUUGACGGGGGCCCGCACAAGCGGUGGAGCAUGUGGGUUUAAUUCGAAGCAACGCGAAGAACCUUACCAGGUCUUGACAUCCUCUGACACUCUAGAGAUAGAGCGUUCCCUUUCGGGGACAGAGUGACAGGUGGUGCAUGGUUGUCGUCAGCCUCGUGUCGUGAGAUGUU